AGCUCCAGGGGUGUAUAUUAAUGUUGCUGUGGUUAAAACGCUCGUAGUCGGACAUCAGCUGGACCAACCUGGUCUACCCUCUGAGGUGUGCACUGGGUGCUUUGGCUUCUCUGUUGGUGUGGCCCUGCGCUUUGCUGCGUAGUGCUGUUUGACAGUUUUUCACUUUGAGGAAAAUAGAGUGCUCUAAGCAAGCAAAGCUGUAAACACUUUAGCAUGGAAUGAUGACUGGACUACUUCCCUUGUUUGUUGGAUUCUUAGGGGUCUUGGUAUUGAUAGGUAGGGAUGGUUGGGGGCAUUCAAAUUCAACUGUCAGAGGUGAAAUUCUUGGAUUUGUUGAGGUUGAACUACUGCGAAAGCAUUUGCCAAGGAUGUUUUCUUUGAUCAAGAACGAAAGUACGCA
This 400-nucleotide ribosomal RNA is filed under the name phytoplankton environmental sample. RNAcentral describes it as "partial small subunit ribosomal RNA". It matches the Rfam family "Eukaryotic small subunit ribosomal RNA", at positions 587 to 995 of the family's 1831-position model. The record is from RNAcentral.